GACGAACGCUGGCGGCGUGCUUAACACAUGCAAGUCGAACGGAAAGGCCCUGCUUUUGUGGGGUGCUCGAGUGGCGAACGGGUGAGUAACACGUGAGUAACCUGCCCUUGACUUUGGGAUAACUUCAGGAAACUGGGGCUAAUACCGGAUAGGAGCUCCUGCUGCAUGGUGGGGGUUGGAAAGUUUCGGCGGUUGGGGAUGGACUCGCGGCUUAUCAGCUUGUUGGUGGGGUAGUGGCUUACCAAGGCUUUGACGGGUAGCCGGCCUGAGAGGGUGACCGGCCACAUUGGGACUGAGAUACGGCCCAGACUCCUACGGGAGGCAGCAGUGGGGAAUAUUGCACAAUGGGCGGAAGCCUGAUGCAGCAACGCCGCGUGCGGGAUGACGGCCUUCGGGUUGUAAACCGCUUUCGCCUGUGACGAAGCGUGAGUGACGGUAAUGGGUAAAGAAGCACCGGCUAACUACGUGCCAGCAGCCGCGGUGAUACGUAGGGUGCGAGCGUUGUCCGGAUUUAUUGGGCGUAAAGGGCUCGUAGGUGGUUGAUCGCGUCGGAAGUGUAAUCUUGGGGCUUAACCCUGAGCGUGCUUUCGAUACGGGUUGACUUGAGGAAGGUAGGGGAGAAUGGAAUUCCUGGUGGAGCGGUGGAAUGCGCAGAUAUCAGGAGGAACACCAGUGGCGAAGGCGGUUCUCUGGGCCUUUCCUGACGCUGAGGAGCGAAAGCGUGGGGAGCGAACAGGCUUAGACACCCUGGUAGUCCACGCUGUAAACGGUGGGUACUAGGUGUGGGGUCCGUUCCACGGGUUCCGUGCCGUAGCUAACGCUUUAAGUACCCCGCCUGGGGAGUACGGCCGCAAGGCUAAAACUCAAAGGAAUUGACGGGGCCCCGCACAAGCGGCGGAGCAUGCGGAUUAAUUCGAUGCAACGCGUAGAACCUUACCUGGGUUUGACAUGGAUCGGGAGUGCUCAGAGAUGGGUGUGCCUCUUUUGGGGUCGGUUCACAGGUGGUGCAUGCCUGUCGUCAGCUCGUGUCGUGAGAUGUUGGGUUAAGUCCCGCAACGAGCGCAACCCUUGUUCACUGUUGCCAGCACGUUAUGGUGGGGACUCAGUGGAGACCGCCGGGGUCAACUCGGAGGAAGGUGGGGAUGACGUCAAGUCCUCAUGCCCCUUAUGUCCAGGGCUUCACGCAUGCUACAAUGGCUGGUACAGAGAGUGGCGAGCCUGUGAGGGUGAGCGAAUCUCGGAAAGCCGGUCUCAGUUCGGAUUGGGGUCUGCAACUCGACCUCAUGAAGUCGGAGUCGCUAGUAAUCGCAGAUCAGCAACGCUGCGGUGAAUACGUUCCCGGG
This 1343-nucleotide ribosomal RNA is filed under the name uncultured bacterium. RNAcentral describes it as "16S ribosomal RNA". It matches the Rfam family "Bacterial small subunit ribosomal RNA", at positions 28 to 1378 of the family's 1533-position model. The record is from RNAcentral.